RNAcentral lists this ribosomal RNA (492 nucleotides) under uncultured bacterium. RNAcentral's name for it is "partial 16S ribosomal RNA". It matches the Rfam family "Bacterial small subunit ribosomal RNA", at positions 29 to 507 of the family's 1533-position model. The record is from RNAcentral.
AGUGAACGCUGGCGGCAUGCCUUACACAUGCAAGUCGAACGGUAACACAUUAAGCUCUUGCUUUUCCGCCUGGCGAGUGUUGUAUCGGUCCGUGCUCCAUCGUAGUCUAUUUUUUCUUGCGGGAUCACCUAGUUCAACUUACGCUCUUACCGCAUACGCCCUACUUCUCAAAUCCUUGCAUCUUUGGACCUUCCGCUAUUGGAUUAGCUGAUUUCGGAUUUGGUAGUUGGCCGGGUAAAGGCCCACCAAGUCGACGAUCCGUACCUGGUAUGAGAGGAUGAUCAGCCACACUGGAACUGAGACACGGUCCAGACUCCUACGGGAGGCAGCAGUGGGGAAUAUUGGACAAUGGGCGCAAGCAUGAUCCAGCCAUACCGCGUGGGUGAAGAAGGCCUUCGGGUUGUAAAGCGCUUUUGUUAGGAAAGAAAAGAAGCAGGAUAAUACCAGGGUGUAAUGACGGUACCGAAAGAAUAAGCACCGGCUAACUACGUG